RNAcentral lists this ribosomal RNA (1405 nucleotides) under Listeria monocytogenes. RNAcentral's name for it is "bacterial SSU rRNA". It matches the Rfam family "Bacterial small subunit ribosomal RNA". Lineage: Bacteria; Bacillati; Bacillota; Bacilli; Caryophanales; Listeriaceae. The record is from RNAcentral.
AUAGAAAGAUUAAACUGAAGAGUUUGAUCAUGGCUCAGAUUGAACGCUGGCGGCAGGCUUAACACAUGCAAGUCGAACGAUGAUUAUCUAGCUUGCUAGAUAUGAUUAGUGGCGGACGGGUGAGUAACAUUUAGGAAUCUGCCUAGUAGUGGGGGAUAGCUCGGGGAAACUCGAAUUAAUACCGCAUACGACCUACGGGUGAAAGGGGGCGCAAGCUCUUGCUAUUAGAUGAGCCUAAAUCAGAUUAGCUAGUUGGUGGGGUAAAGGCCCACCAAGGCGACGAUCUGUAACUGGUCUGAGAGGAUGAUCAGUCACACCGGAACUGAGACACGGUCCGGACUCCUACGGGAGGCAGCAGUGGGGAAUAUUGGACAAUGGGGGCAACCCUGAUCCAGCCAUGCCGCGUGUGUGAAGAAGGCCUUUUGGUUGUAAAGCACUUUAAGCAGGGAGGAGAGGCUAAUGGUUAAUACCCAUUAGAUUAGACGUUACCUGCAGAAUAAGCACCGGCUAACUCUGUGCCAGCAGCCGCGGUAAUACAGAGGGUGCGAGCGUUAAUCGGAAUUACUGGGCGUAAAGCGAGUGUAGGUGGCUCAUUAAGUCACAUGUGAAAUCCCCGGGCUUAACCUGGGAACUGCAUGUGAUACUGGUGGUGCUAGAAUAUGUGAGAGGGAAGUAGAAUUCCAGGUGUAGCGGUGAAAUGCGUAGAGAUCUGGAGGAAUACCGAUGGCGAAGGCAGCUUCCUGGCAUAAUAUUGACACUGAGAUUCGAAAGCGUGGGUAGCAAACAGGAUUAGAUACCCUGGUAGUCCACGCCGUAAACGAUGUCUACUAGCCGUUGGGGUCCUUGAGACUUUAGUGGCGCAGUUAACGCGAUAAGUAGACCGCCUGGGGAGUACGGCCGCAAGGUUAAAACUCAAAUGAAUUGACGGGGGCCCGCACAAGCGGUGGAGCAUGUGGUUUAAUUCGAUGCAACGCGAAGAACCUUACCUGGUCUUGACAUAGUGAGAAUCCUGCAGAGAUGCGGGAGUGCCUUCGGGAAUUCACAUACAGGUGCUGCAUGGCUGUCGUCAGCUCGUGUCGUGAGAUGUUGGGUUAAGUCCCGCAACGAGCGCAACCCUUUUCCUUAUUUGCCAGCGGGUUAAGCCGGGAACUUUAAGGAUACUGCCAGUGACAAACUGGAGGAAGGCGGGGACGACGUCAAGUCAUCAUGGCCCUUACGACCAGGGCUACACACGUGCUACAAUGGUAGGUACAGAGGGUUGCUACACAGCGAUGUGAUGCUAAUCUCAAAAAGCCUAUCGUAGUCCGGAUUGGAGUCUGCAACUCGACUCCAUGAAGUCGGAAUCGCUAGUAAUCGCAGAUCAGAAUGCUGCGGUGAAUACGUUCCCGGGCCUUGUACACACCGC